GAAGGAUAAACGAACAUCUGUAGUAAAAAUACUUAAACAGUCGAAUGUACUUUUUCCUUUUCGAAAACCGUAUUGAGUUUUUGGCAGUAAGUCUUUAUUUUCUAUGUACCAUUCUAGCCGAUUUUUAAUAAGAUGCUCUGCUAUUUUCAUUAGAACCGGACUGAGAACGAUAGGACGAUAUGAUGAAAUAUCAGACGGAAUUUUACUAGGUUUGAGAAUUGGCAACACCACAUGACGUUUCCACAUCUGAGGAAUGUUUCCUGUUGUCAUUACGGAAUUGAUAAGAGAUAAAUAAUAAGAAUGAACAGUGGGACUAACAUUAGAUAAAAAUGAGUAUGGGAUGCCAUCGAUACCUGGAAAUGAGUCUACAGUAUUAGAAAGGAUACCUUUCAAUUCUUCAAUAUUGAAAGGGAUUUUUAAUGACGUGUCAUCAGAGGUUAUAUUGGAUUCCACACGAAUUACCGGUUGUAAAGUAACUUCUUGAGGUACCCAGGGAGGAGCUAAUGUAUCUAUAAAUUCACCUGCUAAAUUAUCCGGGAUACGGGAAGUAUUGUGGUCGGAAAAUGCAGACCGGAAUCUCCUAAUAUUACGCCAAACAGCUGAAGGGGGUGUAUUCGGUGAAAUGACAGAGCAAAAAUUAUGCCAACUCUCUCUUUUCUUCAGUUUAUAAAGUUUUCGAGUCUGUGUAAUGAUACUGGAGAGCUGCAGCUGUGCAUUCCGAGUCCCACCACGGAGGCAUUGGGAUCUUCCUAAAUGAAUGAUUAUUUUUACUGGGAAAGCAUCAUCUGCAGCGGAAACAAGAAUUUUAGCUAAUACUUCUGCACAAUCCUGCUCAUUUCCAUUAUUGACAAUUGGAAGAGAAGAUAGCUGAUUGUCAACAUAAUUUUUAUAAUUUAGCCAAGUGCUGCUCUUACUAUGUGGAAGUUUGUGUUUUAAGUAAGAUAUUCUAGGUUGUGAAUGUGGGAUUGGGAAUGGAAAAGAUAUUUUUAUAGGGAAAUGAUCACUACCAAAUGUUGAGGGAAGGGUGCACCAAGUGAGACUAGAAGCAAAGUUAGGAGUGCAGACAGAUAAAUCUAUUGCGCUAUUGUUAUGACUUGGAUCACUGCGACGUGUAGGGGAACCAGUAUUUAAUAUACAUAAAUUAUGUGUAUCAAAUAUAUUGAGUAGUUCUUCCCCAUAGGAGUUAGAAGUUGAACUACCCCAUGACUGGUGAUGGCAGUUAAAAUCACCUAACAGUAUAUAAGGAUUAGUAAGUGUGGAAAGAAUACUGUUAAUUUCAUUACGUGAAGAAUGAGAAGGGUGAGAUAUAUAUACAGAUAUAAUACAUGUUUUAUUUAUAAUUAUAGCUAUGAUUGAGAUUUCUUCACUGUGUGAUGGUAGAGAAACCACAGUGAAAGGAAUUGAAUCCUUCACAAGUAUAGCUACUCCACCAUAUCCAUCUGGUCUAUCCUCUCUUACUGUUGUAUAACCAUUAAUUUUAAAUAUAUUAUUUGAUUUGAACCAUGUUUCACACAAGGCAAAAACUAAAGGUUCGUAUUUAUUUAUUAAAUAAAUAAUAUCACUUUUUUUAUUUAUUGCGCUGCGGCAAUUCCAUUGGAUUAAAUGAACUUGAUUCUCCAUUUUGGGGUGAUAUAGAAGAAAUGAGACUAUGAAGUGAAGCAGCGUUGGACGGUGAUAUGUUAAAUGAGGAUAAAAGAUUAAUUAAUGCCGUAAUAAAUGCCAUGAUAUUGAAUUGUUUUACAGUAUUGUCUUUAAGUACUUCAUUGAUGGCACAGCCGUUAGUGGGCUCAGGAAUUCUAAAUUCUUUUAAAAUAUUGUUGUGGGCUUCCUUAUUAUACCCUUUAGAAGGGCUCUUGGGGGGCUGAGGUUUGCAAAAAACAGUUAUUUUAUAACUUGAAGAAUGUUGAUUGAACGUAAUAGGUGAAGAAGUUUCAAUUUCUCUGGGAGUUUGAGAUAUAAGGGUGUCGGCAAAAGAUUUAGUCACUGGUGGGAGCAAUUUACUGGCUUCUGCAUAAGAUACAGAGUUCUGGGCCAUAUAGGUUUUAUUUGUAUCUGCCUUGAGAGCUCAGGACAUACUUUACUAGUAGCAAAGUGAAAACCUGAGCAUAAGCAGCAAUUGGCAUUACGUUCAUCCCUGUCACAAGAGUCCCCAGUAUGGCUAUCGCCGCAUUUGUAACACCUUGGUUUGCUCCUACAUUGUAUUUUAGUGUGCCCAAACCGACAGCAAUAAAAGCACUGUAUAGUAGGGUAAAUAUAAAGGUCCACAGGCAUUGAAUUGUAGGACAUAAAAAUUCGUUUUGGAAGAACUUGGCCAUCAAAUGUGCAGACAAUGGUUUGAGAGGGCUUCCACACCAUAGAGCCGUCUACUAAAGUUUUAAAGUUUAAUCUGCGGACUUUUAAAAUAGGUCCACAACCAAUUGGUACUGAUGAAUUUUCUAUUAUCUCUUCCGGAGACCACUCUACUGGCACACCACGCACUAAACCCAUUCUAGUUACGUUAAAAGACGGAAUGAAUGCCUUAUAAUUAAAUUUAGAAAGAUUUUCAUGAGUAAUAAAAGAGUUUGCGUCAAUAAAUGUAGAAAAAGCCAAAGAAAUUUUAUUUCUGCCUAUCCUCUUAACACUACCAUUAAUAAUAUUUUUACAAUUGUUACGUUGUAGGAAUCUCCCAAACGAAAGUGGUAGAGUCAUUGUCCUGAAUAAUAUGUUUUUGUACGUGAAUAACAAAAGGCGCACUAUCCGAACCAUCAUAUACUUUUCUGCCUACAGUUUGCGCGGGAAUCGGGGUUUCUGAGGUAAUAAGUUUGUUAAUCGGUUGGGGUUGACUAGUCUGAGAAAGAUCUUCGCAAUCACAGCCAUGUAGGUUAUCAUCAGAAGAGCCGUGUUUUUUACGUCUUUUAUUGCAACGCUUGCAUACAUGUCGGCGACUUCUUUUCAGAGGCCGGGCUGAUGCAGAUGCAUCUGUCUCCAUACCCGACUCGGAGGCAUAAUUAUGUGACUUUUCAGUCUCAAUUGUGACAAAGUUGCCCGCCGGAGGGACUAAGCCCCCCGGAUCAGGCGGCAAAUUCAUAAGACCUUACUAUUCUACAGUUUAAAUAUAUG
This is a long non-coding RNA of Manduca sexta (tobacco hornworm), 3099 nucleotides long. RefSeq lists it as uncharacterized. The record is from RefSeq and is a predicted model, not a curated record. The transcript has 2 exons. Lineage: Eukaryota; Metazoa; Arthropoda; Insecta; Lepidoptera; Sphingidae.